UUUUUUUUUUUUCCCCAUUAUUGUGUGCGGCAGAGUACCACUCUCUGGGGUCCUUCCUCUCCUGCCACCUUGUGGGUUCAAGUGAUCAACCUAAAGUCAUCAGGGCUUCAUGCAAGCUCCCAUACCCAUGGAGCUAUCUUCCUAUCCCCUACAACAGGGCUUUAAGGUGUGCCUUAAAACGUGUGCACAUGCAACUACUGAUAUCUAAGUCAGAAAACUGGUCAGCAGUGGACACAGUUAGAGUAGGUGACCAGCAUGAAACAAAGGAGGGUAACAGAUUUAUGCCUUUUUUACAGCGUUUGAACUUUGGAUUACAUCUAUUCAAAAUGGCAACAUUUUGAAAACUAAACUUGAAGGCUAAUGAUGUUUAUUCAAAGCUAAAUCCUGAAUGAGAUGUGAAGUACUUCAUGAGGCUGCCUGAAGAGGGUCCUCUCCACAUACUGAAAUCCAAGAUUUCACACUGAAAUUCCAAGAUUUUGGUUUUUGUUUCCUUGCUUGCUUUGUUUUGUUUUGUUUUGUUUUUGGACAGUGUCAGUCUACAUACCCCUGGCUGUCCUGGAACUUAACACAUAGACCAGGCUAGCCCUUAACCCACACAGAUCAGUCUGCCUUUUCCUCCCUGAGUACUGGAAUUAAAGGUAUGUGCCACCA
Molecule: long non-coding RNA, 651 nt
Filed under: Rattus norvegicus (Norway rat)
Lineage: Eukaryota; Metazoa; Chordata; Mammalia; Rodentia; Muridae
Description: long non-coding RNA NONRATT012188
Source: RNAcentral